CGCGACCCCAUGUCAGGCGGGACUACCCGCUGAGUUUAAGCAUAUCAAUAAGCGGAGGAAAAGAAACUUAC
RNAcentral lists this ribosomal RNA (71 nucleotides) under Codonopsis kawakamii. RNAcentral describes it as "partial 26S ribosomal RNA". It matches the Rfam family "Eukaryotic large subunit ribosomal RNA", at positions 1 to 69 of the family's 3401-position model. The record is from RNAcentral. Lineage: Eukaryota; Viridiplantae; Streptophyta; Magnoliopsida; Asterales; Campanulaceae.